AAGCUCUGGAAAGCUUUGUGUUGGAAUUCACAUAAAGGAAAAAGGUGCAAGCAGUGGAAUCUCCAAACUGGGCCAGGAGUGUGAGCAAUGAAGAUAUGAGAAUACAGAAAUCCAGUCUAAGUAUUGCAACUAACCCAGCAUGAAAUUCAGAGAAGUUUGGGUCCAAGACUCAGGUGGAGCGGAAGCUAUCAGUGAUGCUGCCUUUGGAUGGCAACUUGACGAAACUAACAUCACAUAGGAAUGGAAAUAAAUUUGGAGUCUAUUCCCUCCCUCUGGCCCAACACUGAAGCAAUGAAGGGAGAUUGUGCCAUUGAGGUGUUGGGGGAAAUGUUUAUACUUUAUUCUAGCUAUAUCUUUGAAGUAAAUAUUCCUUUGUAAAAGUUAAAACAAUGACAUAAAUAAUAUACCCCAGGUCUUAUACAUACUACCGAAAUGGUUGGGUUGGUUUCAAAAUAUUUAUGGCUUUGGACUCCCCCCAUCCCCAAUUAUACUUGAAUACUUUGGACUAUUUGGGUAAAUUGUGAUUACGAAUGAGAAUUUUGGAUUGGGAAUGGAGGUGCGCUUGAAUUAUAGCCCGCUAUUCUUUCAUAUCUCACUCGGUGGCUCUCCUUUGGUUAUGAUAGCAGCAACAAAAGGGGCAAAAGAGUCACUCAUCCUUAUCUGAAACAUGAGGAAAAUAACAUUUAUAUUAUCUAUCUAGAGUGGCAAGACAAAGGGACUAUCUUUGUGUGCUCUAGGAGUGGAAUUAUAUUCUAUUUUAGAGGUGUUAAACAAAGCUGAUUACAUGCCGAGUCUUGUCUUCCCUGUGAUCAAAGGGAAGGGAGCUAUCUUUUUAGUUAUCCAAAUAAUUACUCAGUAACAUGAUGGAGGGGGCAGCUAGGUGGUAUACAGUGGAUAUGAUGCCAGAACUGGAGUCAGAAAGUCUCAUCUUUUUGAAUUCAAAACCUUAAUGCUCGGCAAGUCACUUAAUCCUGUUUACCUCAGGUUCCUUAUUUGUAAAAAUGAACUGGAGAAGGAGAUGGCAAAACACUCCAGAUCUUUGCUGAGAAACCUUCAAAUGUGUCCCAAAGAGUCAGACACAAUUGACAUGACUGAACAAUAUGGUGAAGAAGCAAGGCUGGUUAGAGAUGAAGUUGGCUUUGGAGACCAAGCAAAUGAACUCAUUCCAGAAAAUCUAGAUAGAUGAAUUUGGGGUUGGGCAUGGGAGGUGAGCUUGAACUGUAGUCCCCUGUUCUUUCUUAUCUCACUUGGCUGCUCAUCUUUGGAUUUCUCCACUAUGUUUCUAGAAAGAGUCUGGUAGUCUCAGGGAAAAGGGAGAAGGUUAUGAUGGCAGCAGCAGAAGAGGCAAAGAGGGUUGAUUGAGCCUUAUCACCCUUUAACACCAUGAUAGCAUUUUAGUCAAUUCUUGAGCUGAGCCUAGUAGACUUAGCUCAGCAAAGCCAAAGCUAAGACUGGCUCAAUGCCUUUGGCUAAAAUGGCACCUUCCCCAUCCCACACAGGUUUUCCUUCAGUUCAUUCUCCUUAUAGGUCUCUAUGUCUGGGAGAUAAACAGGAUUCAUAAUCAUUCUGAACAAUUAUGAACGAAUUGGGCUUAUAUUCCCCAUCUCCCACCCCAGUUUUUAUUGAAGGAAAAACAUGACUCCCAUUAUUCCUUUGAGGAACAGCCUUUCCCGGCCCCACUUUUAAAACACAACCAUUCAGUAACUAAGAAUUCUGAAGCUGAUGAACAACAAGAAUUUUUUGAAAAAAUUAAAAAAGCAUAAAAACCAAAAGUGAAUCAGGAAUCAGAGAACUCAUGGAGUUAUCACUAACAAGACACAAAUUGGCUUUUCUUCUCUCUUUCUUUGUCUGGCCUGGGAAAAGACUGGGUUAUUCUGGACUAAUGGACUGGUUGGGUCAUACUCCUAGAGAAGGCUUGCCCCAUGCUCUCAUUUGAUCAUUGUGACCACCCUAGCAGGUAAAAAGUGGGGAAACUAAGGCUGACUUUAAGGGCUUCAGAAUGAAGAAAGGGUAAGAAAGGUAUCUGGAAUCAGGCCAUCUGUUUUACUAUUUAUUCAUCUUGGACAUCGUCCCAUCUGGUUUGUAACUUUCCCUUCUCUAUCAUACUCACUAGUGAGACCCUAUAACCUUCAUCCAGCCAGGCAAUGACCAGUAUUCAUGACUAAGCUCCCUGCCUAGAUGAUCCAGGACAUGGUACUGGCCAGCCCAGACCCCUAGUAUCUCCGGCAUGGUUGCUCUUCUUCUUGGGAGUAUAUCCGGCUCAGGUGUUUUGGGGAAGACUGGGUAACACUGUUUGUCCAGAGAUACCAAGUUUCCCUGGUAACACCUUUUGGAAAAGACAGGCAUAGGAUUACCUAAUUUUUCUCUUGAAAAUAAAUCCUAGAAAAACUUCCAUGAUGUAGAAUAUGGUUGUUGUUUGUCCUGUGUUCUCGAAGAGGACCAUGACGUCAGGCAGGUGACUCCAUGACACACAAGUGAAUUGGAUUUAAGUCAGGGAAGACUGACAAGGUCACCUGCCUUACUUUCCCCUCCAGAGCCAUCUAGGACCAGUGACCAGAUAGCGAUCAGGAUGAAUGGAGAUGGCCGUGGAUGAAAUAAUAAUAGAAUGUGGUAGUCUAAGAGAGAAGGGAAGCACUUAGUGUUAUUCUUUCAUGGCAGAAGAGGCAAAAGUUAAUCUGUUGAAGACUUCUGAACUCGGGAAAGCUAACCUGCUCAAAGACCAGUGUUGGAUACAUGGCUCUGCCGUCAAUAUGUUCUUCAUCAAGGUUUUAUUUUGUGGAGUAAUGAGGCACUUUUAAAUUGUCGAACACUUAACAAAGGAGCUUUACUUUGCUUAAACACAGUAAGGAUCCAUGGACUUAGUAGAAGAAGCCCUGGCUUCCCUUGCCUUCAUGAAUAAAUGUGUUGGAUCAGCAACUCUCCAGGAUAUGGUGAUUUGUAUAGUCUCAGGCACCUGUCAAAUUACAGGGACCCAGACUACACAUGGCUGGGGCUUUUUGUACCUUGACUAGGAAGCUGCAUCAGGGAAGCUGGGGCUGAAAGUAUUAGAAAAAUGCUGAGUUCUGUCACAUUUAAGAACAUCAUGAUAGCUCAGGGUCUUGGGUAGGAACUUUGGAAUUAAUCAAAGUAUAGAAAGUAAAAAAAGGCCCUGGGGCUUAAAUUCUUCCAGAAAAGCAUCUUAUCAACAACUGACAUCUUAAGAUUUGUGAAACAUUUUACAAUCAUGAUCUCAUUUGAUCAUCAUGACAACUCUAAGAGGUAACAGAUGAAGAAACUGAGGCUGACAUUAAAGGACUUCCCUAAGAUCAUACAGAGAGUAAGUGUCUAAGGCUGGAUUUGAAUUCACACAUCUUUCUGGCUGCAGUCCAAUGCUCUAUCUACUGUGCCAUCCAGCUGCCCCUAAGAGCUGCUUCUACUUAUACGAUAAAAGUUUUCUUCCACAUCCUCCCCAGGCUCCUUACAAUGUAGGGACUUUUUGGAAAGAUGCUUACAACUCUGGAAAAAGCAGAAGGAGCUCCCUGAUGCCAGCAUCAUUUUGGUGUUCCUACAUUGCUUGUUCAGAUCUUUCCUUGCUCUUAGCUGCCCUUUUCAUUUUUUCCAUGCCGACCAGAGCUUUAUGAAUAAUGAAUUUUCAAGAAACCAGAUGAAUGAUCUUCAGCACUAGCCAUAUGUCAAAAUGUUAGCUUCUCUUAAUUGUAUAAAAUAUAUAAAUGUGAUUGCUUUAUGCCCCCUCAGUUACCUCUGGUAACAAUGAAUGUCCCUUAUGGGUUUAGUAAAAUCACCUUAAAAGCCUGGCUCCUCUAACUUUCUGGUUGAACUCUGUUGGAGAUUCAGUCUCAGUGGUCGCUCCAACUAAAGAUAUUUGGUGGCAUGGAAACACUUGUCAGAUUUAAACGUCUCUUAAAACCAAAGGCAAUGAUCAGGAAGCUGGUGUAGUGGAAACUGCAUUGUGUCCAGUCGAACCAAGAAGCAAAUUUAUCUGCCAAAAAGCUUUGCACAGUCCGGUACAAUUCUUGGGAGUAGAAAAUGAGUGUUUAGCCAGAUUGGGUUUGAGGGCACAUAAGAAUGCUCCAGAGGAAGAGCACAAAUCAGAGGAUGGAAGCUCAAGCUACAAGGUUGUCAUCUGAAGGCACUUAAUUAUGUUAUUGCUUGCAGAAAUGUGCCAAGGAGAGUCAAAACAAAGCCGGCUGUCCUAUUUCUCUUUAAGUCUAACAACAAUGAUAAUUAGCAUGUACGUAGGAGAUUGAAUAAUGUCCAGGAUAAAUACGGGAUUAACUAUUCUUUUGUUAGACUUUUUCUUUGUUGAAAUAAUAAGAUCAAGGCUUGCUUUGGAUGUAGUUAUGAGACCUCAAUCGUGUGGCAGAGAAAGGUAGUCCUACAACUCAUAUGUCAUGUUCUGUCAUCUUGGUUGUUCUUUAUGUUUGGGAUUAGUCCAGAACUUGCUUGGGUCUCCUUUGAAGAAUCAAAUCUUUAUUCAAGAAAGGAAUGCAAAAAAGGAAGGGUUUAAAUGAUUCCUUAUUUUUGGAUUUGAACAUUGAACAAUUAAUCUAGCAAAAAAAAAUGU
Molecule: long non-coding RNA, 4564 nt
Organism: Sarcophilus harrisii (Tasmanian devil)
Lineage: Eukaryota; Metazoa; Chordata; Mammalia; Dasyuromorphia; Dasyuridae
Source: Ensembl